UAUGCCCUAGAGGAGAUGUACUUCCCUAAGGUCGUAUAUAAAUAUCAGAGGAUUAUUUUCUGUUGCUUUCACACCUUGAGUCAUCAUUCAUGCUUGUGCAAAUGGACAUAGCAUUGCUACUAAGCAGUUUACAAUAACAUCUUACAGAAUUGUAAAUUAGUGCCCCAGAGACAUGAUAGCAGAGAGUCAGCACUUACAUGGGCAGCUGAGCAUAGAGAUUUAGGGAUUUCUUUUCACCUAGCUGUUUUUACUGUUUGGUUUCUUUUUAGUCACAUGUAGAAGCAUAUCCUAAACAUAUUUCAUCCUAGUAUCUUGGUGUGCUAAGCAUUCUUUUUCCUAUUCAGUUAAAUGGAAACUGUAUAGAAAAACAGCAGUGAGCAGCAUAUUGCCUUGGAAGCAAUAAAAUAAAAUUACCUGUGUUUGCUAUUUAAAAAAACAAGCAACACAAACAUGACAGGGGGCACCUCUACACCAUGCAACAGAGCAUAAGACUUAGCAUAUAUUCAUCGAGUUACUUUUGAAAUAGGAGACAGCAGCUGCAGACUUUUGUAUGAGUGCUGUUGCACCCAAAGUACUUAACCCUGUGGUAGAUGGUGCUAAUUAGGUUGGACAUGGUGCUAAUUAGUUUAGAUACAGCACUGUGGUCAUGCAAAUACACAGAGAGCCUGUGAGUCCAGCUCAGACCUGGCUGGAGCAUUCUGCACUAACUGCUGCAUGAGGCCAUAUGUGUGCAUCCAGAGAGAGAAAUGGCUUGCUCUUGGCCACUUGUUCAUUACCCCUGUAGGGUUUAGCUUCAGUAACAGAUGCAUUUGCCACAUACAGGUGUCAGAUGUGGCUUUGUUCCAGGUUUACUUCCCUCUUGAUAAAAGCAGAAGACACACUUCUAAGUGUGUUUUUCAGGCUCUGAGUUGUUGUUGUGGAAUAAUGGGUAUCCAACACAGCUGCUUCUUAAAACUGUUCUGUUUUACUUCUUAAUUAAGGCUGUAAGUACUGAGAGGAGCAGGAAAGAAGGGGAUGGUAAUUUUUUCAGUCACUAGAAGUUUAUGGAAAUUGUGCAUAUCUGCUGCAAGGUCAUGGAGGCAGACAGCAGUAUGACAAAGAGCCAAGCACAUUCUUCUCCAGUACAUUUAUCAGGAGACCUGCCUUCCCCCUUCAGUGAGACAAAGCAAUGUUUCAGAUUGGAGAUACGAUCAUGACUACAACAUAAAUUCUGUAUCUAUGUAACUGGAUGGCAAAUACAUCACCAAAGCACUGACUGCAGAAUUGCUGUCUUUUUACAUAACUGUUUCAUAUAUCUAUAAAUAUAACAUUCUUUCAAAAUUAGAAUGUUCAGGUUGAUGUUUGUAGGAAGGUUAGUGCUUAUUAGUAAGAACAAAGUAAGCUGAAGAAGCUUUGUUCAAGAGGCAGUGUUCAGAAUAACCUGUGGGAUAAAGGAAAUUACAAGAUCUUUCUCCUUUUUUUGUAUUUUUUAAAGGAUCUCAGGUAGUCAUUCUGGCAACUUCUCUCUAUUGUUUCAUUUCUGUUUGACAGACAGAUGAGACAAAAGUUUCAUUAGAAUGUUGUGAGCCAUCAGUAAUAACUAGGAAAGACUAGUGAAAAUGUGGACCCUGUCUAUAAGGAAAUGGGACGUGGUCAUCCAGUAUAUGGAGAAAACUAAAGUACACAACAACUUUUUUGCCUCAGUCUUCACUGACAGGUGCUCCAGUCACAGUGCCCAAGUUACAGAAGGCAAGGGCAGGGACUGGGGAAGGAAGAUCAGAUUCUGCUCUAGGAGAAGAUGAGGUUUUGAGAACCUGAAGAUGCCCAGGUUCAUGGGACCAGAUGAGAUACAUCCACAGGUCCCAAGGGAAGUGGCAGAGGAAGUGGCUAGGUCACUAUCCAUUGUAUUUGAGAAGCUGUGACAGUUUGGUGAAGUUCCCUCUAACUGGAAAAGGGGAAAUGUAGUCCUCAUGUUUAAAGAUGGGGAAAAGGAAGAUGUAGGGGACUAGAGGCCAGUCAGUCUCACCUUGUUAUCUUGCAAGAUCAUGAGGCAAAUCCACCUGGAAACUGUUCUAUGGCAUAUAGAAAAUAAGGAAGUGAUUGGUGACAGCCAACAUGAUGUCACUAAGGGCAAGUCAUGCCUGACAAAUUUGUUGGCCUUCUACAGUGGGGUAACAGUGGGUAAGGGAAGAACAACUGAAAUCAUCUACCUGGUCUUGUGCAAAGCAUCUGACACUGUCCUGUACAAUAGCCCUAUUUGUAAACUGAAGGGAUACAGAUUUGAUGGAUGGACCAGCUGGCAGAUAAGGAUGUGGCUGGAUACUCACACUCAGUUCUGAGUUGCUGUCAGUGCCCAAUGUCCAAAUGGAGGAGUGACAAGUGGUGUUCCUCAGAGGCUGGUAAUGGGCCAGGCACUGUUUAACACCAUUGCAAGGUAACAUAGAGAGGAAUGUUGAGGGCACCCUUAGCAAGUUUGCCAUCAACACCUAACUCUGUGGUGCAGUUGGCACACUGCAGGGAAGGGAUGCAUUAGGGUGACCUGGUCAGUCUUGAGCUGUGGGAUUGUGCAAACCUCAUGGAAUUCAACAAAGCCAAGUGCAAGGUUGUGGGUGUGGGCAAUCCCAGGCAUGAAUACAGGCACGAAUACAGGCUGGACAGGUGGGUGGAUGAGAAGAUUUUCAUGAGCUGACAAAGGUGCACCUGCAGCCCAGAAAGCCAAAUGUGUCGUGGGCUGCAUCAAAAGCAGCAUGGCCAGCAGAGUGAGGGAGGGGAUUCUGCCCCUCUCCUCUGCUCUCAUUAGACACCACUUGGAAUGCUGCAUCUGGCUCUGGGGUCCCCUACAUAAGGACAUAGACCUGUUGGAGUGAGUCCAGAGGAGAACAGGAUGAUCAGGGGGAUGGAUGAGGAAAGACUGAGGGAGUUGGGGUUUUUCAGCCUACAGAAGAGAAAGCUCUGGGGAGAUCUGAUUGUGGCCUUUACCACUUAGAAGGGGGCUGCAAGAGAGCUUAAGAGAGACUUUUCACAAGGGCAUGUAAUGAUAGGACAAGGGGGAAUGUCUUUGAACUGAAAGGAGUUAGGUGUAGAUUGGAUAUCAGGAAAAUGUUCCUUACUGUGAGGAUGGUGAGGCACUGGAACAGGUUGCUUUGAGCAGUUGUGGAUGCCCCAUCCCUGGAAGUGUUCAGGAUUAGGUUGGAUGAGGCUCUGAGAUAACUGGUCUAGUGAAGGGCGUCCCUGUGCAUGGCAUGUGUGCUGGAACUGGCUGAUCUUCAAGGUUCCUUCCAACCCGAAGAGUGCUAUAAUCUAUGACAACUGACCUGUGGCAAGUCAGCUAGCAACUGUGCUACAUAAUAUACUUGGACAUAAUGGACAUAAUUGGACAACUUUGGACGAGGUUUCCUAGAGGCUGGACUGGAAUAUGUCUCCUGGGAAAAUACCUGAUUUUGCCUGAAAGAUUCCAAGCAAUGGUGACUUACCACCUCCUCAGACAGAUGAAGCAUUACUAUGCUGAGAAGACAGUGCCAUGUGAAAGCCUGCCAGACAACCCAGACGGAGUGCCAUGAAGAGCUAACUGCAAGACCUGAUGGCUGUGUAUUUAGAAGUUCACAGACUUGCAAAUCAGAAUGAAAUAGAAAUUGAUUCUAGUCCUAGAAGAGGAAAGGAGGAAUACCCUGACAAGGCCAUGGUAGAAAGAUGGCACCUGUCCCCACUAUAAGGCAGCCUUGGAGGGGUAUCACUUCUUCCAAGAUUGGAUACAGCUUGGGCUCACACCACCAGGUUGUAUACAAGUGCAGAAAGAGGCAUUCAUUAUCCCACAGGUAUGCUUGGCUUACCUUCUCAGCUCCCAUGGUCUCUCUACCUCCCUAGAAAACCAGCUGCUGGGAGCUAUAUGCAUAACAUACAGAGGUAUAAAAGCCAAGGCAAGGGAACAGAACACCAGUGGUAACAACAGAUCAAAGGUCUUUCGUGAACAGUGCUGAGCAGCUACAUACCCCACAGACUCUCUAAGAGAAACCUUGAUUUCAGCCCAAUGUCUCUAGGAAUAUGCAUAUGAGAAGCUUGUUUCAAGAGUUUCUGGAAACGUUCAUCCUCCAGCACACACAGAGGAAGGUCUGCCUCUCCUCUGCCUUUUAUCUCCUCAAGCUUUUGUUUGAGGUCCCGCAAGGCCUGGAGCUCAUCGUUCAGACGAUUCUGCCUUGUGCGCGACGCCUGGAGAUCCAGCUCCAAGUCCAGGGAAGUGCGCACGGGGCACUCUUGCGCAGCUCUUCGCAUGAUCGGCUGGCAAACAGGCUGGGUUGUUUGGGAGAGAACAGUAAAAAUUAACAGCUGGAGAGGCUGGUGGAGACUUUGACAUACUGCAGUAUGAAAAGCUCAGCACCAUAAUGCAAGGAAGGCUGGAUGUGCCUGUGGUGCAAGUUGGGGACUGGGAAGACCCCCAGCUCUUCAGCCCUCUUCGCGAACUUGGAUGCAGCUACAGUGCCCACUCUGGAGUCACCAGCAGUGGGCAACAAGUGUUCCUGACAUGGCAAAAGAUGUAUCUGCAGACAUGCUCUUUUCACAGGAUGUAUUGGUUCCGCUCGCCUGGAGAGAAGGUUUGGGAGCGCACUAUCAUGCUGUUCCUGACAAAGGGACGCUGUCUGGAGCUCCAGCUGCCUCUGUCCUUGGGUCGGACUGCUGUGUUCUCGUUAACCAGUUCCUCAGUGUUAGUCUCUUUAUCGACCUAUGAAAAGGAAUUUAAUGUGUAACACUUACUAUAACCAGGUACACGCCCCCACAUAGUUUUUGUGCCUUCAGAUUUUACAAGCAUUCUCAUUUCCUUGCAGUGGAUGGAAAAAGACCAGCGGCAAAAAGCACCGUGCAUUUACAGAGAAGCUAUUCUAAGUAAAGAAAUACAAAAUUCCCAAGAGGCUUAAGAGUGUGUAGAGAGGCUUUGAAGGUACUCUUUGUAGCCAGUAAAGCCUAAGCUUUUGCAGAAAGGCCUUUGCUGCUUGGCAGAUGGUUUGAUGCAAACACAGUCCAAGAAAUGUUUUGCUUUGCCAUUUGCAGGCAUGAUUAUUGCACGUUUAUAUUUACUCUUUUGGUAUUUGCAGAAGAGCAAGGUUCUGCCGUGCCAGAGAUGGUGCCUGUGCACACUGAAAGGAGGCAGCUGGGAAAGCUACACUGCCCAGGUCCUUCCAGACAUACUGCCAGACAUCUCCAAGCCUCAGCAGCAGGGCUGCUUUAUGGCAAUCUCCAGAGCUUCACCAGCCUUGUGAACCCAGGGAAAAGACACUGCUGGCUGCUGUCCCUCAGCACAGCCUGCUGCCUACUAGAGUUAUCCCAUGUGUGCCAGAGGGAGCCUCAAGUGCCCCCAUCCCCAUGGAUUACAUGGAUUACUUCCAUGCUGCAAUCAUCCUGGCUGCUAGGCUAGGCCAAGCUCUGCAGCAGCUGGAACAUCCAAUGUUACUGAUGUGCACUGGGGCUUUUUCCUCAGCUUGGGUAAUUGAAUGAAGUUCAUGGUUUUCACAGUGCAGGUGAUAAAUACAGUGACCUAAAUAGCACAACAGCAACCCCGAGAGGAUGUUCUCACAGACAUCUAUGCUGUGACUGGUUCUGCAGGGGAGUCUGCUGUCUUUCACUCAUUGUCUGGGCCCACCCAGCCCAAGCUUAGCAAAGCACUUGGGUAGUGUCUAACCUUCACAUGUCGUCCUUGAAGUCUCCCCUUGCCAAGUUAGGGCUUUGAUCUAUAUUCACUUGCUACCCAGAAGACUGUCAGUCCUUUUAAUACCACAGCCUUAGCUUAUUUGGCAUCUUGCCACAUUAAUUGGAAGUUAAUUACAGUUUUCAGCAAGUCCACUGAGAUGUUAAACUUUUGUAUUGCCACAAAGUUGAAGGAAUGAGAUGUCACUCUUCGUCUUUUUACCUCUGCUAUUUUAUAGAACUUGUGAGUUUAAAAGAUGCAACAGUGUUUUUAUUAAGAUGCAGAGAUUCUAAAAAUUUUAUUUCUGAGAUUGUGCUACCACAUCAGGGAUAUGUUCACUAAACAUUUACUAAAAGUGCUUUCAAGAAAAUGGAAUAUAAUUUAAAAAACAACAGUUAUCAAGAACAUGGAAUUAGAAUUUGUUUUAUGCGGUGUGUGAGUACGAUAGUUCAAAAGUACACACAGUUUUAAUACACGUUUUGGAAUUUUCUGUUCA
This is a long non-coding RNA of Parus major (Great Tit), 6152 nucleotides long. RefSeq lists it as uncharacterized. Lineage: Eukaryota; Metazoa; Chordata; Aves; Passeriformes; Paridae. The record is from RefSeq and is a predicted model, not a curated record. The transcript is spliced from 10 exons.